Molecule: long non-coding RNA, 924 nt
Organism: Drosophila pseudoobscura
Lineage: Eukaryota; Metazoa; Arthropoda; Insecta; Diptera; Drosophilidae
Exons: 3
Source: RefSeq, a predicted model, not a curated record
UUUACGGGUCCACAUGAAAGUCUGUUGGGAGCCAACAGCGUCUCCUCUGGCUGGAAGAGUAUGUCAGUCAGCUCACCCAGACGUUCGUACAGGGAGCGGCCGGUGAUCAGAUUCGGGAUGUCCUUCAACCAGGAGGAGAUUCGCGGGGGCAAGGGCGUCAGCUGGAAUAUAUCAGCCAUAUACUGGCAGCGGAUAACCUCGCGUUCACCCCCAGCAGCUUCUUCUCCAGUUUGGGGCGAGCGAUCAGAUUCGAGAUGACCUUCAACCAGGAGGAGAUUCGCGGGGGCACGGGCGUCAGCUGGAACAUAUCCUCCAUAUACUGGCAGAGGAUAACCUCGCGGUCACCCCCAGCAGCUUCUUCUCCAGUUUGGGGCGAGCGUGUUUACACAACAAAAUGAAGAAAGACAGGCACAAUUGGAAUCGGCAGUAAGCCUAUGACACGGGCGAAAGUCGGCGAGGAUUCACAAGUCCCGGGGGCUUCAUCGAUGAUCGCGCACUCGAUCGACACUGUUCCUGCGCUAAUUCUCUUCACUUCCUCCUCGUUCUCUUCUAUCAUCGUUGAUGACGGAUCUCUUCGUCCUCGUCCAGCUUCUUGCGGAAUCUUCUACGGAUCUCGUUCAUGGUUGCAUUCAGCAGGGAGGUGUUCCAGGCCUCCGCAUCCCUCAGACAGUGGCUCCACGCCCGUUUAUCCUCGUAUCGCAGAUCACACGCUGGGCUUCAGCUUCGAGACAUAACUUAUGUAACCUACGCUUUGCCAAAAAACCAAGUCGGAAGGGGCUACGCGAGCUAGAUAGAUAGAUCUCGUUGUGGUUAGAUUUAAGGAUAUAUAAGGAUUUAGAUUUAGAUAGUAAAUAUAAAUGUUUUCCAAUUGUGUCUUUACUUAUACUAAGCUUAAUUUUGAUGAAUAAAAAUAUUAAGAAAUCA